This is an RNA transcript of Drosophila obscura, 1655 nucleotides long. RefSeq lists it as uncharacterized. NCBI's taxonomy places the organism in Eukaryota, Metazoa, Arthropoda, Insecta, Diptera, Drosophilidae. The record is from RefSeq and is a predicted model, not a curated record. The transcript is spliced from 4 exons.
CAGCUGGCUCCUCUGCUGCUGAGAACGAUGAAUUGCUCUCGUCCAAUGAGACCGACUCAUUUGAGUACAUUGAAGCUGAAUUUUAAAUCAUGAGGCACAUCAUUGGCAAGUGUUGCCGUAUUCUGUCUAGUAUUUUUACAAAAUACUAAAAUUAUUCGGGCUAUCGACGGGGUAUCGACAGCAAACAACUGUCAAACAGUAAAUUCAGUUUAAUGUUUAAAUAUGAGCAAUACGGGAAAGCAAAAGAAAAAGAAGUGGACAGAGGUGGCGGAAAAUGUCUUAAUAGACUUGUGGGGGGAAAAAAUGGAAGAUUUUCGUGGGUUGCUCAAGAAAACCCACAUUUACGAGGAGAUGGGUGAGGAACUAAAGCAGCAAUUCUUCGAUUUCUCUCCACAAGAAAUAAAAACCAAACCUAGAGAAUUUUCGCCGGAAAUAUGAUUGGAGAAAUCAAAGACGGGACCAAGCGGAGGGUCACCAUCUCAGUGGGUGCAUUUCGAGAAGGUGGCCCAAGUGCUAGGGCGCUCAAAGGCAGUCAACUUCCUGUCACAAAUUGAAGAAAGCUCAAGUAAGCGUACAUAUUGUGAAGAAGUGUGAGCCAGCGGAUUAACUAAAGUUACUACUAUGUUGUUGGCACUUGUCUGUGUAAGCGCACAAACACUUAUGUUUAAUUCUAAGCAACUUUGAAACUCCCCAUUAUUAAGAUUGGUUAGCACACGCAGAGCAUCCCGAGCAUUAUUUUCGGCACCAAUAAUUGCGUUGAAUAACAUACGAUCAUAGUCUUGGGCAACUGCUUGUUUUUCAGUGCCCGUAAUAGCAUCAUGAUGCUGCAUAACACCCAUUGCCUGCCGCAAGUUUCUGAGGCCUUUUUCGUGCUUAGCGGUGGUGAGAUUAGCUAGUGUGAUAAGUUGCUUAACCGUCUGAAGGAUAUGAUUUCCAUCCCGCUCGAAACGUUUUUGGGUUGGACGUGAAGUAAAAUAUCCAGUCCAGUAGGAAUGAGUGUCACUAGAAUAUGGAAAGAAAUCCUCGGUUUUGUUUGGCCAACUUUGCAGUAACUGAUGCAAUUCGUAAAGGUAGCAAGAUGGAGUUGAGUAAAAAAUAUUGAUUUUUGAACCCUCCGAUUGACGAUUGUUAACGUACCUGGUGGAAAUGUAAAUGAACAAAAUUUGAAAAUAAAAUAAAAAUGGAUAUCAUACUUUUUCCUCUCGGAACGACUUCGACAUUGACGUUACAUAGGCAAUAAAAUCAUCGACUCGUUUGUUUACGUUAUUGUCGUAGCUCAUACCGUCAAUUAUUGGAUCAUCCUGGCAAUGGAUGUCAAAGCAGAACCCGGGAGGAGAUCCAUAAUGACGAUAAAGCAAACCAGUGAAAAUUUCGGAGUUUUUCAAAAAUACGCUAGAUUUCCAAAUCAUUUCCAUUGUCAUGGUACUUAGGCGUUUAUUCUUUUCAGCAUAAUCCAUCCGAGCGAAAAACUCCCCGUUGUAACCCAUUUGUGCAAAAAUGGAAGCCAUUUCUCGAGAAUGCCCAAAGGGGUCUAUCUGCCAACCGAUUCGAGGACGAGCGCAAGCCCCGAACGUGUUUUUCAAAAAUCUGAAAAUAUUUAUAUUUAAAAAAUUAUAUAAUUCAAUAAUCUACCGAUCAUCUAAAAUAAAAUCUCU